Meriones unguiculatus (Mongolian gerbil) is the source of this 1262-nucleotide long non-coding RNA. RefSeq lists it as uncharacterized. The record is from RefSeq and is a predicted model, not a curated record. The transcript has 3 exons. NCBI's taxonomy places the organism in Eukaryota, Metazoa, Chordata, Mammalia, Rodentia, Muridae.
CAAGCCCAGAGCGAGAACUCGUCAGUAAAGAAAGUUCAGUGAUCGUCAGCUGCCCAGAAAUAAACAUCAGGGGCCAAAAGCGGGCAGGGCUGAGCAGGGGCUGCUGACAGCUGUGGCCGGAGGGCAGAGGCAGAGGGAAAGGGUUCCAGGCUGGAAUUCGGAGCGUGCCCACAUCAGCAGAAAAGUUCCUGGGAACAGCAGCACUCCGUCUGGGAGGGACCCUGUGGGUGUCAGGAUGCACGCGCUCUGAGAUGCAGGGACCAACGGUCGGUCGUUAGAGGAAGCCCCGGCUCCUCUUUUCCCGGCUCCCCGCGGAGUUAAGGCGUCUUCGACAGACGACAAAAGUAAAAGAUCUGCUCCCAGGAUGGCUGAAGGCCCACCUGCAGGAGCUUGCUCUUCCUUCUUGGCCUACCUGUAAUGCUGAGUUUCUGCUCCAUGAGUUAUCCUGCCAGACGCAGAUGUUUCCUAUAUCCACGACAGUGCCAAAGCAGCUACCACAGGUGUCCCAGUCUGACCUCACAGACUUCCAUCAAGCUGGACCUGCACUUUCCCUUCCAGCCAUGGAUGUUCUCAUAGACCCUGUACAGCUUCAAAACAGCCUGUUCUUCCUGGACUUGGCCAGCAUUUCAACCUUUUGACCUCCCUACAGCGCCCCCAGUGUCAGCAGGAAGUAGCCAGAAGAGAAUCUACGCCCAGUAUUCACUCAUUAACAAAAGGCUGGAAUGGUGUGCUUCAGGACCAGGACAAGUAGCUCCAGGUUCUCCCAGUAUUCUUCAGUCCCUACCUGCUUCCUUGUGUGGCUGGCAAUUCUCUACUGGCACACUUUACCCUGAACUUUCCAGGGCAGGGGCUUCCCCAACUCUGCUUGACCAUGUAAUCUGGACAUUUUGUUGCUAUUACUUUUUUCUCUUUCUUAGCCCCUUGCAUGGCAACCAAGUGCUGCUUCCAAUGAACCUAAAUCUAUAUACUUUAACUUUCCUUACAUGAAAAGCAGCCCAAGCUCCUUAUUUUUCAAUUAUAGAAAAAGGGAGGAAUGUUAUUAUUUAGGCAGCCUGCUUCUGGGUUGCCUAGCAACCUAUGACAUCAUCAUGUGUCACCAGCCAGAUAGCCACACCUGGCAGGCAUGGUAAAGUUUCUCCUUAAAAGGAUCAACCAGCCACUUUGUCACUCUCUUGCCCAUUCCACUUUCUCUGUUGGAGCACCCCUUCCCUUCCCCCUAUCAUGUCUUGCUCUCUCUUUCUCUCGCUCUCUCUCUUCAUCUC